Molecule: ribosomal RNA, 497 nt
Filed under: uncultured bacterium
Lineage: Bacteria
Description: partial 16S ribosomal RNA
Rfam family: Bacterial small subunit ribosomal RNA
Source: RNAcentral
GAUGAACGCUGGCGGCGUGCCUAAUACAUGCAAGUCGAGCGAACGGACGAGAAGCUUGCCUCUCUGAUGUUAGCGGCGGACGGGUGAGUAACACGUGGAUAACCUACCUAUAAGACUGGGAUAACUUCGGGAAACCGGAGCUAAUACCGGAUAAUAUUUUGAACCGCAUGGUUCAAAAGUGAAAGACGGUCUUGCUGUCACUUAUAGAUGGAUCCGCGCUGCAUUAGCUAGCUGGUAAGGUAACGGCUUACCAAGGCAACGAUGCAUAGCCGACCUGAGAGGGUGAUCGGCCACACUGGAACUGAGACACGGUCCAGACUCCUACGGGAGGCAGCAGUAGGGAAUCUUCCGCAAUGGGCGAAAGCCUGACGGAGCAACGCCGCGUGAGUGAUGAAGGUCUUCGGAUCGUAAAACUCUGUUAUUAGGGAAGAACAUAUGUGUAAGUAACUGUGCACAUCUUGACGGUACCUAAUCAGAAAGCCACGGCUAACUACGUG